GGAAUCUUCCGCAAUGGACGAAAGUCUGACGGAGCAACGCCGCGUGAGUGAUGAAGGUUUUCGGAUCGUAAAGCUCUGUUGUUAGGGAAGAACAAGUACCGUUCGAAUAGGGCGGUACCUUGACGGUACCUAACCAGAAAGCCACGGCUAACUACGUGCCAGCAGCCGCGGUAAUACGUAGGUGGCAAGCGUUGUCCGGAAUUAUUGGGCGUAAAGGGCUCGCAGGCGGUUUCUUAAGUCUGAUGUGAAAGCCCCCGGCUCAACCGGGGAGGGUCAUUGGAAACUGGGAAACUUGAGUGCAGAAGAGGAGAGUGGAAUUCCACGUGUAGCGGUGAAAUGCGUAGAGAUGUGGAGGAACACCAGUGGCGAAGGCGACUCUCUGGUCUGUAACUGACGCUGAGGAGCGAAAGCGUGGGGAGCGAACAGGA
Molecule: unclassified non-coding RNA, 428 nt
Filed under: plant metagenome
Description: partial contains 5.8S ribosomal RNA, internal transcribed spacer 2, and large subunit ribosomal RNA
Rfam family: Bacterial small subunit ribosomal RNA
Source: RNAcentral